UGGGGAAUAUUGCGCAAUGGGCGAAAGCCUGACGCAGCGACGCCGCGUGGAGGAUGAAGGUCUUAGGAUUGUAAACUCCUGUCAGAUGGGAAGAAAAGCUUGUUCUCGAAUAAAGAUAAGUAUGACGGUACCAUCAGAGGAAGCACCGGCUAACUUCGUGCCAGCAGCCGCGGUAAUACGAAGGGUGCAAGCGUUAUUCGAAAUUACUGGGCGUAAAGGGUGCGUAGACGGUAUGUUAAGUUUGUUGUUAAAGACUCUGGCCUAACCGGAGGGUUGCAAUGAAAACUGGCGUGCUAGAGGAUGAGAGAGAGAAGUGGAAUUCCCGGAGUAGCGGUAAAAUGCGUGGAUCUCGGGAGGAACACCAAUGGCGAAGGCAGCUUCUUGGCUCAUUUCUGACGUUGAGGCACGAAAGCGUGGGGAGCAAACAGGAUUAGAUACCCCCGUAGUCC
Molecule: ribosomal RNA, 449 nt
Filed under: uncultured bacterium
Lineage: Bacteria
Description: bacterial SSU rRNA
Rfam family: Bacterial small subunit ribosomal RNA
Source: RNAcentral